Molecule: small nuclear RNA, 26 nt
Filed under: Arabidopsis thaliana (thale cress)
Lineage: Eukaryota; Viridiplantae; Streptophyta; Magnoliopsida; Brassicales; Brassicaceae
Description: snRNA_04372
Source: RNAcentral
GGUCUCCAAGGUGAACAGCCUCUGGU